CAAAGAUUAAGCCAUGCAUGCGUAGGUCUAUGGCUCCCUUGGGAUGCCAGAGACUGCAGACGGCUCAUUAUCUCAGUGAGAAUCUACUUUGCGAACACUCGAACUGGAUAAUUGCGGGAAUUCUGCGACUAAUACAAUUCGCUCGCUGGGGUAUCCGGCUCUCGACCAAUCGCCUUGUGCGUUUUGUGUUGAAUCACGGAUUCCCUUCGUCGAUUCUAUCGACACGCAAAAUGGAUUUCUGCCCUAUCAACUAGACGGUUGGCUCUGGGCCUACCGUGGUUACAACGGGUGACGGGGAAUGAGGGUUCGACCCCGGAGAGGGAGCCUGAGAGACGGCUACCACAUCU
Molecule: ribosomal RNA, 347 nt
Filed under: Caulerpa taxifolia
Lineage: Eukaryota; Viridiplantae; Chlorophyta; Ulvophyceae; Bryopsidales; Caulerpaceae
Description: SSU rRNA
Rfam family: Eukaryotic small subunit ribosomal RNA
Source: RNAcentral